This 974-nucleotide long non-coding RNA is filed under the name Capsicum annuum. RNAcentral describes it as "long non-coding RNA (CANN_LNC013959)". The record is from RNAcentral. Lineage: Eukaryota; Viridiplantae; Streptophyta; Magnoliopsida; Solanales; Solanaceae.
AACUUCACCGAUUGAGAAGCACCUUCAGCUGGAGGAUGAAUCCAACCUGAAACAGAUCAGCAAAAACUAAGAAGGCUAACGAAAUCUAAGGUGAAGAUGUGGUAAAAUUAGAAAAAUAUCUUCCAGCCACAGAACAAAUAAAGAAAGGGAUAUACAGCAGCUUAGAGUGCAAAAGAAAGAGUUUUAGAGCAGAGUACAGAUAAAGGGCAUAUUGACAUUGCCCUGAGAAAGCAUGGAAUUGGAAUUAUAAAAUUCAAAGGAUAACCUACUGGAAAAUCUAGCAGAUUGAGGCUGCUGUUUGAGCAGCUGGCGCACCUUUCACAGCAUAGAUCUAUUAAAUAGAUAAGAAAAACAAAGUCCAGACUUGGUGUUAUUGUUAAACUUUCGUCAUAAGAAGCUUCUGUUUUCUUCAUUUCAUUUCUUUAGGGUUAAAAAACUAUUCAGCAACCCAGAGGUUGUUAUUAUUUUUUCAUUGUUUAUAAUUUUAGUUAAAAUAUUAUAUUAUCUCCCAACAUGUUUGUCACUUUCUGCUUACCAAGCUUCGAACUACGUGAACUUUGAAUAUCUUUUUUUAUGUUUAUUAUUUGAUAACAGAAAUCUGCGAGGGUUAUUGGUGUGCAAUAAGAGAUAACUGACGAAAGACGUGAAGGAAGUAUAUCAAAACUCAAAAGUACAAACUCUAGCAUCCCCAUAUAUUUCAUGUUGUUGCAGACACCUGGUGAAGUGACAGAAAGGUUAAAAUGACCAGGUAAAUUUUCUAUGCAAUACAUCAGAUGAAAUUAGAAAGUUUCACUUAGUGAAUUGGAGAAUUGUCACCAUCUUCGAAGGAAUGGGGACGAUUCGGUGUGAAAGCUCUGCUCUUCAAUAAGCAUAGUUCAGGAAGUGGUUAUGGAGGAUUGGGGUGGAGGUGAAAAUAUGUUGUGGAGGGGUGCGAUGGCGAAAAAUUAUGACAUUAUGGAAGGUAGGUGGAGGCU